UACGAAGGGGGCUAGCGUUGUCCGGAAUUAUUGGGCGUAAAGCGCGCGCAGGCGGCCUCCUAAGUCCGAUGUGAAAGCCCACGGCUCAACCGUGGAGGGUCAUUGGAAACUGGGGGACUUGAGUACAGAAGAGGAAAGCGGAAAUUCCACGUGUAGCGGUGAAAUGCGUAGAGAUGUGGAGGAACACCAGUGGCGAAGGCGCUUUCUGGUCUGUAACUGACGCUGAGGCGCGAAAGCGUGGGGAGCAAACAGG
RNAcentral lists this ribosomal RNA (253 nucleotides) under uncultured bacterium. RNAcentral's name for it is "partial 16S ribosomal RNA". It matches the Rfam family "Bacterial small subunit ribosomal RNA", at positions 524 to 776 of the family's 1533-position model. The record is from RNAcentral.